Molecule: ribosomal RNA, 500 nt
Filed under: uncultured bacterium
Lineage: Bacteria
Description: partial 16S ribosomal RNA
Rfam family: Bacterial small subunit ribosomal RNA
Source: RNAcentral
AUUGAACGCUGGCGGAAUGCUUUACACAUGGAAGUCGAACGGCAGCACGGACUUCGGUCUGGUGGCGAGUGGCGAACGGGUGAGUAAUGUAUCGGAACGUGCCCAGUCGUGGGGGAUAACGUAGUGAAAAUUACGCUAAUACCGCAUACGAUCUAUGGAUGAAAGCGGGGGAUCGCAAGACCUCGCGCGAUUGGAGCGGCCGAUAUCAGAUUAGGUAGUUGGUGGGGUAAAGGCUCACCAAGCCAACGAUCUGUAGCUGGCCUGGGAGGACGACCAGCCACACUGGAACUGAGACACGGUCCAGACUCCUACGGGAGGCAGCAGUGGGGAAUUUUGGACAAUGGACGAAAGUCUGAUCCAGCCAUUCCGCGUGCAGGAUGAAGGCCCUCGGGUUGUAAACUGCUUUUGUACGGAACGAAAAGGUCUCUCUUAAUACGGGGGGCUCAUGACGGUACCGUAAGAAUAAGCACCGGCUAACUACGUGCCAGCCGCCGCCGUAA